Molecule: ribosomal RNA, 549 nt
Filed under: uncultured bacterium
Lineage: Bacteria
Description: bacterial SSU rRNA
Rfam family: Bacterial small subunit ribosomal RNA
Source: RNAcentral
UGGAGAGGCUUCGGCAAUGGACGAAAGUCUGAUCCAGCCACGCCGCGUGAGCGAUGAAGGCCUUCGGGGUGUAAAGCUCUUUUGUGAGGGAAGAAAGGCUCUGGCCCAAUACCUUUUUGUCUGACCGUUCCUCGCGAAUUAACUCCCGCUAACUUCUGGGCCACCGCCCCCGUAAUUCCGGAGGAGGCAACCUUGUUCCGAAUCUCUGGGCGUAAAGGGCGCCUAAGCCGGCUUGUUAGUGGGGAGGGAAAUCCCAUGGCUUUACCCUGGAACUGCCCCUCGUACUGGGAGAGUUGGAUUCCGCAGAAGAGAGAGGAAUUCCCUGUGUGUCGGUGAAAUGGCUAGAUAUAUCAGAAGAAACCCUUUGGCAAAGGCACUUUCUGGGCUGCUACUGACACUUAAGGCCCAAAGCCAUGGGAACCAACCAGAAUAAAUUCCCUGGUAGUCCUGGCCCCUAACCGAGGACACUUAGUGUUGGAGGAAUCAAACCCUCUUAUGCCCCAACUUACCCAUUGAAUGUCACCCCUGGGGAAUACCACCGCCAGGGUG